AGCGAAUGUUAGCGGCGGGCCUAACACAUGCAAGUCGAGCGAGAAAGUGGCUUCGGCCAUCAGUAAAGCGGCGGACGGGUGAGUAACACGUAGGUAAUCUUCCCUUGAGCGGGGGACAACGUUUCGAAAGGAACGCUAAUACCGCAUAAGUUUCCGAGGACUCUGGUUCUUGGAAGGAAAGCUAGGUCGCAAGAUCCGGCACUCGAGGAGGAGCCUGCGUCGCAUCAGCUAGUUGGGGGGUAAUGGCCUACCAAGGCGAAGACGCGUAGCUGGUCUGAGAGGAUGGCCAGCCACAUUGGGACUGAGAGACGGCCCAGACUCCUACGGGAGGCAGCAGUGGGGAAUCUUGCGCAAUGGCCGAAAGGCUGACGCAGCGACGCCGCGUGUGGGAUGAAGCAUUUCGGUGUGUAAACCACUGUUGCCCGGGACGAACAGCC
Molecule: ribosomal RNA, 437 nt
Filed under: uncultured bacterium
Lineage: Bacteria
Description: bacterial SSU rRNA
Rfam family: Bacterial small subunit ribosomal RNA
Source: RNAcentral